GAUGAAGAACGUAGCGAAAUGCGAUAAGUAAUGUGAAUUGCAGAAUUCAGUGAAUCAUCGAAUCUUUGAACGCACAUUGCGCCCUCUGGUAUUCCGGGGGGCAUGCCUGUUCGAGCGUCAUUAUAACCACUCAAGCUCUCGCUUGGUAUUGGGGUUCGCGGUUUCGCGGCCCCUAAAAUCAGUGGCGGUGCCUGUCGGCUCUACGCGUAGUAAUACUUCUCGCGAUUGAGUUCGAUAGGUCUACUUGCCAGUAACCCCCAAUUUUUACAGGUUGACCUCGGAUCAGGAAGGGAUACCCGCUGAACUUAAGCAUAUCAAUAAGCGGAGGA
Molecule: unclassified non-coding RNA, 329 nt
Filed under: soil metagenome
Description: partial contains 5.8S ribosomal RNA, internal transcribed spacer 2, and large subunit ribosomal RNA
Rfam family: 5.8S ribosomal RNA (bases 1-120)
Source: RNAcentral